GCGGUACCGGUUCACGCCCGUAAAGGCGACCCGGCGACC
This 39-nucleotide non-coding RNA is filed under the name unclassified sequences. RNAcentral describes it as "L31-Actinobacteria ribosomal protein leader". It matches the Rfam family "L31-Actinobacteria ribosomal protein leader". The record is from RNAcentral.